This 1389-nucleotide ribosomal RNA is filed under the name Cutibacterium avidum. Its description in RNAcentral is "bacterial SSU rRNA". It matches the Rfam family "Bacterial small subunit ribosomal RNA". Lineage: Bacteria; Bacillati; Actinomycetota; Actinomycetes; Propionibacteriales; Propionibacteriaceae. The record is from RNAcentral.
UUCCCCAUUGGCAAGUCGAACGGAAAGGCCCCUUUGGGGGUACUCGAGUGGCGAACGGGUGAGUAACACGUGAGUAACCUGCCCUUGACUUCGGGAUAACUUCAGGAAACUGGGGCUAAUACCGGAUAGGAAUCCUUGCUGCAUGGUGGGGGUUGGAAAGCUUCGGCGGUUUUGGAUGGACUCGCGGCUUAUCAGCUUGUUGGUGGGGUAGUGGCUUACCAAGGCUUUGACGGGUAGCCGGCCUGAGAGGGCGACCGGCCACAUUGGGACUGAGAUACGGCCCAGACUCCUACGGGAGGCAGCAGUGGGGAAUAUUGCACAAUGGGCGGAAGCCUGAUGCAGCAACGCCGCGUGCGGGAUGACGGCCUUCGGGUUGUAAACCGCUUUCAGCAGGGGCGAAGCUUUUGGAGACCUGCAAAAAAACCCGGCUAACUACUGCCACCCCCGGUGAUACUAGGGGCAACGUUGUCCGAUUUAUUGGGCUAAAAACUCUAGGGGUUGAUUGCUCGAAUGAAAACUUGGGGCUUACCCUACGUGCUUUCCAUACGGUGACUUAGAAGAGGGAAAUGGAAUUCUGGUGGACGUGGAAUGCGCAAUAUCAAGAGAACACCGUGGCGAAAGGGUCUCUGGAACUUUCGACCUGAAGACGAAAGCGUGGGGGACGAACAAGGCUUAAAUACCCCUGGUAGUCCACGCUGUAACGUGGGGUACUAGUGUGGGGUCCAUUCCACAGAAUUCGUGCCGUAGCUAACGCAUAAGUACCCCGCCUGGGGGAGUACAGCCGCAAAGGCUAAACUCAAGGAAUUGACCGGGGCCCCGCCAGCAGCGGAGCCAUGCGAUUAAUUCCAUGCCAACGCGAGAACUUACCUUGGGUUUGACAUGGACUGGGAGUGCUCAGAGAUGGGUAUGCCUCCUUGUGGGGCUGGUUCACAGGUGGUGCAUGGCUGUCGUCAGCUCGUGUCGUGAGAUGUUGGGUUAAGUCCCGCAACGAGCGCAACCCUCGUUCACUGUUGCCAGCACGUUAUGGUGGGGACUCAGUGGAGACCGCCGGGGUCAACUCGGAGGAAGGUGGGGAUGACGUCAAGUCAUCAUGCCCCUUAUGUCCAGGGCUUCACGCAUGCUACAAUGGCCGGUACAAAGAGUUGCGAGCCUGUGAGGGUGAGCGAAUCUCGGAAAGCCGGUCUCAGUUCGGAUUGGGGUCUGCAACUCGACCCCAUGAAGUCGGAGUCGCUAGUAAUCGCAGAUCAGCAACGCUGCGGUGAAUACGUUCCCGGGGCUUGUACACACCGCCCGUCAAGUCAUGAAAGUCGGUAACACCCGAAGCCGGUGGCCUAACCUGUGUGGGGGAGCCGUCGAAGGUGGGACUGGUAAUUAGGACUAAAGUUUUUU